UACGUGCACGAGGGAGCCGGCGCGCGUACACGUCGGAUUUCUUGCGCGCUCCUUCUGAUUAGUCGGGAGAGAGUGCGCUUCCUCAACUUGCUGCCUACUGGUCAGAGGCUCAAGUUGUGCGUCCGAAGGAUUUCGGCCACUUUUGACAAAAAUAGCCAAGAGCAGUGUCAAGAAGUUCACAGGUUCGCACGAGACGGUUACGUAGAUAGGCGCGAAUCCAGACCGACACUCUGAGCUUCCGACGGUUCGACGCUGCCUACGGUACGUCUCUGGUCAGCCAGGGAAAGUAGAGUUUAAAGUUGUGUGACGGACAUUCAUUCAACGAAGAGGCAACAGAGUUCGGCAGGCAACGACAUGAAGGUUGCCCUUGGGCUUUUCAGCGCCAUUCUGGCGGCUAAUUUGUACUUAGCUGCCUCCCAGAUUCCAGCCGCACUACCCGUCACCUGCCAAUAUCCAGUAGACCUGGUCUUCCUCAUUGACAGCUCGGAGAGUUUCAGGACAGGUGGUUUCGAGGAU
Branchiostoma floridae (Florida lancelet) is the source of this 516-nucleotide long non-coding RNA. RefSeq lists it as uncharacterized. The transcript is spliced from 3 exons. The record is from RefSeq and is a predicted model, not a curated record. Lineage: Eukaryota; Metazoa; Chordata; Leptocardii; Amphioxiformes; Branchiostomatidae.